GGGAAUUAGUUUAAUAAAAUAAUUGAUUUCGACUCAAUAGAUUCUGAACACACACAGAAUUCCUUGC
Molecule: transfer RNA, 67 nt
Filed under: Meroles squamulosus
Lineage: Eukaryota; Metazoa; Chordata; Lepidosauria; Squamata; Lacertidae
Description: tRNA-Arg
Rfam family: tRNA
About the family: Transfer RNA (tRNA) molecules are approximately 80 nucleotides in length. Their secondary structure includes four short double-helical elements and three loops (D, anti-codon, and T loops). Further hydrogen bonds mediate the characteristic L-shaped molecular structure. tRNAs have two regions of fundamental functional importance: the anti-codon, which is responsible for specific mRNA codon recognition, and the 3' end, to which the tRNAs corresponding amino acid is attached (by aminoacyl-tRNA synthetases). tRNAs cope with the degeneracy of the genetic code in two manners: having more than one tRNA (with a specific anti-codon) for a particular amino acid; and 'wobble' base-pairing, i.e. permitting non-standard base-pairing at the 3rd anti-codon position.
Source: RNAcentral